ACCGGCCUUCAAACAUCCAUCGCCCCGCCCAGUCCUUUGUGAUGCCCCCUCACAUUGUGCUUGAAUUCCAUGAGAUAGCCCUGAAGAAUAUCCAUGCUUACCAUAAAUGUUCUCCUUUACAUUCAAGCUAGUGAUAUUUCUGCACCUUCCAAACAAAGGAGACCUAACUUUAAGACAGAUGCUCCCUAUAAGUGCAGCUGAAACUGCAGUUGGAGGGCAGAUCAGAACAGGGAUUUUCGGAUGGUGCCAAGGAGAUGACAGAAUAUACCCUUUCGAGGAUUCAAGAAGGAUCAGUGAAGCCCAGUCUUCCCAUGGCAGCCUCCCACGCCGGCGGGUCCAAUUCCAUAUGGCAGCGACUCACAAGUUUAGAAAUACCUACAUAUCUAACAUUCAAAAAAUCAGACCAGUCAUGACAGAACUUGGAGAUCAAGAUGGAUUUUAAUUAAACAUAGAGAGAAAUAACCCAUUCUGCUUCACUUUUUCAUCUAUACAAUAAAUGGGCUUUGGUAUUUUAACGACCUUUCUAGCUCACUAGAGGGGUCAGAA
RNAcentral lists this long non-coding RNA (546 nucleotides) under Mustela putorius furo (domestic ferret). RNAcentral describes it as "lncRNA (ENSMPUG00000025740.1)". The record is from RNAcentral. Lineage: Eukaryota; Metazoa; Chordata; Mammalia; Carnivora; Mustelidae.